UACGUAGGGUGCGAGCGUUAAUCGGAAUUACUGGGCGUAAUGCGUGCGCAGGCGGUUUUGUAAGCCAGAUGUGAAAGCCCCGGGCUCAACCUGGGAAUGGCAUUUGGGACUGCAAGGCUUGAGUGCGGCAGAGGAGACUGGAAUUCCUGGUGUAGCAGUGAAAUGCGUAGAUAUCAGGAGGAAUACCGAUGGCGAAGGCAGGUCUCUGGGCUGACACUGACGCUGAGGCGCGAAAGCCAGGGGAGCGAACGGG
RNAcentral lists this ribosomal RNA (253 nucleotides) under uncultured bacterium. RNAcentral describes it as "partial 16S ribosomal RNA". It matches the Rfam family "Bacterial small subunit ribosomal RNA", at positions 524 to 776 of the family's 1533-position model. The record is from RNAcentral.